Long non-coding RNA from Fukomys damarensis (Damara mole-rat), 509 nucleotides. RefSeq lists it as uncharacterized. The record is from RefSeq and is a predicted model, not a curated record. The transcript is spliced from 4 exons. NCBI's taxonomy places the organism in Eukaryota, Metazoa, Chordata, Mammalia, Rodentia, Bathyergidae.
UGAAGCAUUUCAUGAGAGUCCCAAAGCCAGAGACUCGUCACAGGAGGACUUGAUCAGAGGUUGUCUGCUGAGAAGCAAAGAAACUUGUUCUAUAAGAUGAAACAGGCUGGGAUCAUGUGUGUAGUUGUUGCAAUGGAACAAUAAAUUGGAUAACACACAGACGCAAAGUACCAAAAAAGGGAGAAAAAAACUUAGCAGUAAGAAGGAAGAAGGAUAAUUGAAUUUUUCACAGAAUGCAAGAGUAAAGGACACGAGACACACGUGGCAAAGGGUGGUUCGUGAUUUCCUUAUGAUUUAGCAUUUCUGUACACUUGGACUUGUCAUCACCAUUACUCCUACAACUGAUCUGGAGUGUGCUCCCUCCUCCUUCCCAUCACCACCUCCAUGGAGCCUCCUCCACUCCACCUGUUGUUUCUUUCUGUAUACAGCACAGCUGGUCUUGUCCCCAUCAGAGAUGUGUUCUACCCCCAAGCUAGAGGAGAACAUGAAAAGUCUCAGGAAGAUCAUAA